CAGACCUCUAAUCGGAAAAAGG
This 22-nucleotide ribosomal RNA is filed under the name Homalia trichomanoides. Its description in RNAcentral is "partial 26S ribosomal RNA". The record is from RNAcentral. Lineage: Eukaryota; Viridiplantae; Streptophyta; Bryopsida; Hypnales; Neckeraceae.